GACGUCAUCUGCAGGCCCUGGAGACGCGACUGCAGUUACCGAGUUUCUAAGGCCUCGUCCCCUGACGGGAAGGCGGCGUUGGGGGGCGGCUGGGUUUACCCUUCGAGAGUCCGUGUGAGAACCGGGACACCUGUCCUGUUGAAAAGGGGGACGCAAAAGCUGAAAAUGCCCGGAAGGAUAUGGCUUCCUUGAACUGCGGGACGUGUAGCUGCAGCUGUGGGGUGGACCAUGGAAACAGGUUUGAAGAGAGAAGCUCUGUUCUUCUUCAUCUCCCGUCAUUGUUCUGAGCCAGUGUUCUGCCUCCUCCCUAGGGAUGAAGUUUGGUAGCAAGGGUCAGAAAAAUUAAAGUUCAAGGUAGGAACUCUCUGCUGAGUGGCAGAUGGCCUUGGGCAGCGAUGAGUAUUACAUUGUUUUCCCUGCGUGUCUUUCCCGUCAGCUCCAUCAGAAGUACCAGGGAGGACUCUGACAGGCCUGGCCUGGGAGUUAGAAAACACCAGGAAAAGGGUUGUUCCCACCUGGAAGAGAAAUGCUAGAGCAACACACCAUCUUCCUCAACAUUAUCAUCUGUCUCUGGAUGACAAUGAAAUUCACAGGACACUGAUUGUCUUUUUAUCCCAUUGGACAUCGUGAUAGUCUACAAUACUGAUAACACCAUGAUGAUAGGAUCUGAAGACCUGGAAGUACCAGAUCAGCAGGAAGAAGAGAUGGAAGCAACGCCAUGGACCUUCACGUCCUUCAGAGUGUGGGUGGGCUUGGGCUUUGCAGUGAGAGCAAGUAUCACCCAGGAUGGAGAUGGGAGGUAAUGGGUGGCCCCGACAGGUGCCUCCUACUGCUGGCAGCAAGGAGAGAGUGAAGAGGCAGAAUUUCCUUGGUCUAGACUAGAGUCUGGGUCAUGGGCAUGGCAGUGCUUGAGCUUUUGACCAGAAGCAAGUGGACAUGGAUUUGAGCUUCGGGUAAGAAGGGAGACUUCUCUCCAGGGACCAUAGGGGCUGGCAGCUGAAGAAGGUGACUUGGCCCCUCUCUAGAGGGUGAACGCAGGAUCAAUUCAAGGCCAUGAAGUGGAUGCAGCUGGGAGAGCCUGCUUGGUGCUUUUAAACCUCAACAUGUCAACCGCAAAUACCUCAAA
RNAcentral lists this long non-coding RNA (1126 nucleotides) under Homo sapiens (human). RNAcentral describes it as "DNAJC27 antisense RNA 1". The record is from RNAcentral. Lineage: Eukaryota; Metazoa; Chordata; Mammalia; Primates; Hominidae.